GAUGAACGCUGGCGGCGUGCCUAAUACAUGCAAGUCGAGCGAACAGACGAGGAGCUUGCUCCUCUGACGUUAGCGGCGGACGGGUGAGUAACACGUGGAUAACCUACCUAUAAGACUGGGAUAACUUCGGGAAACCGGAGCUAAUACCGGAUAAUAUAUUGAACCGCAUGGUUCAAUAGUGAAAGACGGUUUUGCUGUCACUUAUAGAUGGAUCCGCGCCGCAUUAGCUAGUUGGUAAGGUAACGUCUUACCAAGGCAACGAUGCGUAGCCGACCUGAGAGGGUGAUCGGCCACACUGGAACUGAGACACGGUCCAGACUCCUACGGGAGGCAGCAGUAGGGAAUCUUCCGCAAUGGGCGAAAGCCUGACGGAGCAACGCCGCGUGAGUGAUGAAGGUCUUCGGAUCGUAAAACUCUGUUAUUAGGGAAGAACAAAUGUGUAAGUAACUAUGCACGUCUUGACGGUACCUAAUCAGAAAGCCACGGCUAACUACGU
This 496-nucleotide ribosomal RNA is filed under the name uncultured bacterium. Its description in RNAcentral is "partial 16S ribosomal RNA". It matches the Rfam family "Bacterial small subunit ribosomal RNA", at positions 28 to 506 of the family's 1533-position model. The record is from RNAcentral.